CAGAGUUCAUGCCCCCCGGGGUAGAUCUCCCACCCUGUGUUGUCACAACUCUUGUUGCUUUGGCGGGCCGCCUCUGGCCACCGGCCCCGGCUGGUGAGCGCCCGCCGAACACCAAAACUCUUGAAUCUAGUGUCGUCUGAGUACUAUAUAAUAGUUA
RNAcentral lists this unclassified non-coding RNA (157 nucleotides) under uncultured Dermateaceae. RNAcentral's name for it is "sequence contains ITS1". Lineage: Eukaryota; Fungi; Ascomycota; Leotiomycetes; Helotiales; Dermateaceae. The record is from RNAcentral.